GGCGAUCGUAGCCAAGUGGUAAGGCAGAGGAUUGUGGCUCCUCUAUUCGCGGGUUCGAACCCCGUCGUUCGCC
Molecule: transfer RNA, 73 nt
Filed under: Dinophyceae sp. MGD
Lineage: Eukaryota; Dinophyceae
Description: tRNA-His
Rfam family: tRNA
About the family: Transfer RNA (tRNA) molecules are approximately 80 nucleotides in length. Their secondary structure includes four short double-helical elements and three loops (D, anti-codon, and T loops).
Source: RNAcentral